AUUGAACGCUGGCGGAAUGCUUUGCACAUGCAAGUCGAACGGCAGCACGGACUUCAGUCUGGUGGCGAGUGGCGAACGGGUGAGUAAUGUAUCGGAACGUGCCCAGUCGUGGGGGAUAACGUAGUGAAAAUUACGCUAAUACCGCAUACGAUCUAUGGAUGAAAGCGGGGGAUCGCAAGACAUCGCGCGAUUGGAGCGGCCGAUAUCAGAUUAGGUAGGUGGUGGGGUAAAGGCCCACCAAGCCAACGAUCUGUAGCUGGUCUGAGAGGACGACCAGCCACACUGGAACUGAGACACGGUCCAGACUCCUACGGGAGGCAGCAGUGGGGAAUUUUGGACAAUGGGCGAAAGCCUGAUCCAGCCAUUCCGCGUGCAGGAUGAAGGCCCUCGGGUUGUAAACUGCUUUUGUACAGAACGAAAAGGUUUCUACUAAUACUAGGAGCUCAUGACGGUACUGUAAGAAUAAGCACCGGCUAACUACGUGCCAGCCGCCGCGGUAA
This 500-nucleotide ribosomal RNA is filed under the name uncultured bacterium. Its description in RNAcentral is "partial 16S ribosomal RNA". It matches the Rfam family "Bacterial small subunit ribosomal RNA", at positions 30 to 523 of the family's 1533-position model. The record is from RNAcentral.